GAUGAACGCUGGCGGCGUGCCUAAUACAUGCAAGUCGAGCGAACAGACGAGGAGCUUGCUCCUCUGACGUUAGCGGCGGACGGGUGAGUAACACGUGGAUAACCUACCUAUAAGACUGGGAUAACUUCGGGAAACCGGAGCUAAUGCCGGAUAAUAUAUUGAACCGCAUGGUUCAAUAGUGAAAGACGGUUUUGCUGUCACUUAUAGAUGGAUCCGCGCCGCAUUAGCUAGUUGGUAAGGUAACGGCUUACCAAGGCAACGAUGCGUAGCCGACCUGAGAGGGUGAUCGGCCACACUGGAACUGAGACACGGUCCAGACGCCUACGGGAGGCAGCAGUAGGGAAUCUUCCGCAAAGGGCGAAAGCCUGACGGAGCAACGCCGCGUGAGUGAUGAAGGUCUUCGGAUCGUAAAACUCUGUUAUUAGGGAAGAACAAAUGUGUAAGUAACUAUGCACGUCUUGACGGUACCUAAUCAGAAAGCCACGGCUAACUACGUG
Molecule: ribosomal RNA, 497 nt
Filed under: uncultured bacterium
Lineage: Bacteria
Description: partial 16S ribosomal RNA
Rfam family: Bacterial small subunit ribosomal RNA
Source: RNAcentral